Molecule: RNA transcript, 3177 nt
Organism: Scomber scombrus (Atlantic mackerel)
Lineage: Eukaryota; Metazoa; Chordata; Actinopteri; Scombriformes; Scombridae
Gene name: procathepsin L-like
Exons: 7
Source: RefSeq, a predicted model, not a curated record
UCAUCCUGCUGAAGAGACUUCUCUUCACCACAGUGGAGGACUGAAAGAAGGUGCUAACACGUGUGUUUACCCUUCCCCCACCUCCGGAGCAUCUCUACCUCGCUGGAUGAGAGGAGAUUUCAUCUGUUUGACCGAAAGUCAAGAUGAAGUUGCUGGUUGCUGCUGCUGUACUGACUGUGGCCAGCUAUAGUGUCUCUCUUGAGGACCUGGAAUUCCACACCUGGAAGCUCAGGUUUGGAAAACGAAGAUUACAAACUGAUUUCCAAGUGCUGCCUGAGGGAGCUGAUCUGCCCGUCACUCACGUCAAUAAUCAGAAUAUGAGGCAGUGUUUUCCUGCUAAGCCUUCAGUGCAACUGGCGGAGGAGUUCUGGAGGGUCAGAACUUCAGGAAGACUGGUGUCUCUCAGUGAGCACCAGUUACUUGACUGCUCCUCAGCUUAUGGCAACAAGGACUCUUGUGGAGGCUGGGUGGACAAUUUCUUCAGAUAGUGUUCAGUGUGGGAAAAUGAUGGUCCUUCAUGUGAGUGAUGUACAACACUGACAUCUUGUGGAUAUGUGAAGACAUGAUGCAGUCUGAUGCGGUCCUUCAAUACAAAGCAUACAAUAAACAUUUCAUGGACAGAAAUCUCUACAUUUUGAGAAUGUAAAAUGCAGAAAAUAUUCUCUAUGACAGUUAAUCACUGUUUUAUUAUGUGUCUUUGGUAAAUAUUCUCUAUCAUAUAGGAUGGGCCUAUAUGACCCUUUCAAGAUAGUUGCCACAUGCACAUGCUGCAUUACUGUGAAAAAGGGUGAUGAAGAAGCCUCUAAGCAUGCUGUGGCCAACACUGGACCUGUAUCAGUUGCCCUUGAUGCUGGAAUUCUUCCAACUCUGUGAAUCAGAAGUGUAUGAUGAACCAAACUGCAGCAGUUCCCUAGCAGCAGGUUAAAGCACUAAAAACAGACAUGACCACUGGCCACUUUGUCAAGAACAGAGUGAAAAGGGAUACAUCAAAAUGUCCUGGAAAGAAAUUGCUACGGACACCAUCAACCCCCUGGUCUAAACAAGUAGGCAAGAUGCUCUAAAAUACUCAUUCCUUUUGUCUGUUAUGACCAAGGAAAUGCUAUUACCUUUACCUACCACUGACUGGUUGUUCAUGUUUAUUGGAUGUGCAGGUCCAUGCCUUUUCUCAGGGAGGAGAUCAGUGACACAUAAUUUACUUCAAUUUCAUAAGAGUUAUUGGAAAAAGAACUUCGAAGUUACUUAAAAGUUGGUAGCUAUGAUGCUCUUUUAAUAGAAUAUGGGUAUAGAUAAGGUGUGGCCUUUUUUUGAUCAUACUAAUUAACUUAAUUCAUCAAGGUCAAGUUGUUGUCAACAUUGUUUCAAUGUGUAACAACUGUGGUUAGUACAAAUUUGCAAUACCCACCCCAAAUAUGUGUAAAAUAAUCCUUUAAUGAAAUUCCUUUUUCUUCCCACAGUAAUUCAUAAUUCUUACAGGUUUUGCAUGUAAUCCAACUAAACAGCAGUACUUAACUCAUUAUUCUUACAUCUUCAUAGAACUUUAGGCGGUGGAAGGGUGCUUCACUCUUCUGUAAUCCAUAAAGUCUGCUAAGAAUAGAUUCACAAUGCUUGAAAUUAUUUUUUUCAUAUGUCAUGGGCUAUUCAGCCUAACUGUAUUUAAUUUUACUGCAUGCAAUGAAGCUGAAAUGAGUUCAGUACACCAAUCUGACUUUGCUUAUUCAGAGGCCAUAGUAACAGAUGAUAUAGGAUUCUUUGUGUAACUUUAGAUGUUUUAUAAUUUGCCAGGAAAAAAAACUUUAACUUUGCUGAUAAAAGUCAUCGGUGAGAAAAUGAUUGUUCUCGUUUUCCCAUGCGCUGGGUGACAUCUGUUUUAAUCAUACACAAUAGUUUCCCUGAUGUAAUUAAUGAAAUCACAUUAAGUGCUUGUAAUUUGUCCAUUCUAAAUGUCACAUUAGGUCUGGUUGUGAUAAUAUUUGAGGGGAGGUGGAGAAAUACUGAGGCAGAGAUACAGAAGGAGGGGUGCAUAUUAGGGAUUUAAUCAGCUUGUGUGACAAAAUGUGACCUUGACAUCUUACUUUUUUUCCCUCAGCUGAAGCAGCAACAGGGAGAACUGUUGUGUGGAAGCAAAUAGGCACGGCCUAAGUAAUUGAAAGAGAGAUUUAAAUGAUCUUUUGUCAGGCAAGUCUCUUAAUAGCAGACCUGUAAAAAAUAUCUCUGUCAAUUUUUCAGCACUGCAGUAUGACAGUAUUCAGCCAAUUAGGAAUGAAUGAUUGUUAUCCAGUGACGUUAUCAUCAUAGUCCCUUUUAUUUUUGGGAGUAUGAAGGAGGACAUUAGAAAGUGGAUAAGCAAAUGAUGAAAAAGCUCCCAGACAGAGACAAAGGGAGACAGAAGGAGGGCGCAUAAGAGGUGAGGCAAAUUAAUUGGUUUUGCUAAAUCCUCCACAAACAGCAGAAGCCAAUGUGGUUCCACAAAAGGCCAUUACCGGUAAUCAAUUUAAAUCUGUUUUACCCUUCCCAAGGAAACCAAUUAGGCCAUUUAAUUUGGCUUUUUUGAUUCACAGCAUGACCACGGCACAGGAUAGGACGUCCAAUUCACAUCCUGCAGAGAGGGACAAGUGAAAACACUGGGAGGCGUUGCUGGGACAAACAGAGCUAUUGAUCUGAUGGAAGCAGACAAAAAAGGACGCAUGACAUGAUGAUACAUUCAUGAAUAUGGGUUUUGUUAAAAAAACAUUAAACCUGAUUAAUUAAUCAAAGUGUUUGGCAAGUUACACUUUUAGCAGAAUCUACUCCUUGAAUUAUGUUUUCCAGUGACUUUGACUCAACAUAUUUAGCAGUUGAGCAUCAUUUUUGGCUGUUUUUUUGGGGUUAAAAGAAGUACCUUAAUUGUGUCACUAGGUGGCAGCACUUGACUGCUGAUGAUUAUCUCAAUGCAAUGGCCUGCCUUAAGUGAUCUAAAGCGCUGGUUCAAAGUCAAAUGUAUUCCUUUGAUUCUUAUGAUCAUGUGUCCUUGGAAUGUAACCACUUUUAGAUAUGCGUAUUGUAACCAAUACCAAACAUCUAGCCAUCCAUGCAGACACAUCGCAAAAUGCCAGUGAACCUAUUGCACUGUAACAAUGCACACUAAAAAUAUGCUUAAUCAACAAUUUCGCCACACAAUUUUAGUAUAUUGGCUGUUGA